RNAcentral lists this ribosomal RNA (253 nucleotides) under uncultured bacterium. RNAcentral's name for it is "partial 16S ribosomal RNA". It matches the Rfam family "Bacterial small subunit ribosomal RNA", at positions 524 to 776 of the family's 1533-position model. The record is from RNAcentral.
UACGUAGGGUGCGAGCGUUGUCCGGAAUUAUUGGGCGUAAAGGGCUCGUAGGCGGUUUGUCGCGUCGGGAGUGAAAACCCAGGGCUUAACUCUGGGCUUGCUUUCGAUACGGGCAGACUAGAGGUAUGCAGGGGAGAACGGAAUUCCUGGUGUAGCGGUGAAAUGCGUAGAUAUCCGGAGGAACACCAGUGGCGAAGGCGACUUUCUGGCCUGUUCUUGACGCUGAGGCGCGAAAGCUAGGGGAGCAAACGGG